Molecule: ribosomal RNA, 492 nt
Filed under: uncultured bacterium
Lineage: Bacteria
Description: bacterial SSU rRNA
Rfam family: Bacterial small subunit ribosomal RNA
Source: RNAcentral
AAAGGAAUAGACGGGGGCCCGCACAAGCAGUGGAGUAUGUGGUUUAAUUCGAAGCAACGCGAAGAACCUUACCAGGACUUGACAUCCCUCGAAUUACGUGGAAACACGUAAGUCCUUCGGGACGAGGAGACAGGUGGUGCAUGGUUGUCGUCAGCUCGUGUCGUGAGAUGUUGGGUUAAGUCCCGCAACGAGCGCAACCCCUGUUGUUAGUUGCCAGCAUGUAAAGAUGGGCACUCUAGCGAGACUGCCGGUGAUAAAUCGGAGGAAGGUGGGGACGACGUCAAAUCAUCAUGCCCCUUAUGUUCUGGGCUACACACGUACUACAAUGGCUACAACAACGGGAAGCUAAAUCGCAAGGUGGAGCAAAUCCCCAAAAGUAGCCUCAGUUCGGAUUGUGGGCUGAAACUCGCCCACAUGAAGUCGGAAUUGCUAGUAAUGGCAGGUCAGCAUACUGCCGUGAAUACGUUCCCGGGCCUUGUACACACCGCCCGU